This 461-nucleotide ribosomal RNA is filed under the name uncultured beta proteobacterium. RNAcentral describes it as "bacterial SSU rRNA". It matches the Rfam family "Bacterial small subunit ribosomal RNA", at positions 200 to 642 of the family's 1533-position model. Lineage: Bacteria; Pseudomonadati; Pseudomonadota; Betaproteobacteria. The record is from RNAcentral.
AGAAAAGCAGGGGAUCGCAAGACCUUGCGCUCUUGGAGCGGCCGAUGUCUGAUUAGCUAGUUGGUGAGGUAAAGGCUUACCAAGGCGACGAUCAGUAGCUGGUCUGAGAGGACGACCAGCCACACUGGGACUGAGACACGGCCCAGACUCCUACGGGAGGCAGCAGUGGGGAAUUUUGGACAAUGGGGGAAACCCUGAUCCAGCCAUGCCGCGUGAGUGAAGAAGGCCUUCGGGUUGUAAAGCUCUUUCAGCCGGAACGAAACGGUCACGGCUAAUACCUGUGAUCACUGACGGUACCGGAAGAAGAAGCACCGGCUAACUACGUGCCAGCAGCCGCGGUAAUACGUAGGGUGCAAGCGUUAAUCGGAAUUACUGGGCGUAAAGCGUGCGCAGGCGGUUUUGUAAGUCAGAUGUGAAAUCCCCGGGCUUAACCUGGGAACUGCGUUUGAAACUACAAAGCU